Molecule: non-coding RNA, 117 nt
Organism: Canis lupus familiaris (dog)
Lineage: Eukaryota; Metazoa; Chordata; Mammalia; Carnivora; Canidae
Source: Rfam
CCAUGUCAUCAUACCACCCUGAAAGUGCUUAUCUCUUCUGAUCUCCGAAGCUAAUCAGGGUUGGGCCUAGUUAGUACUAGGAUGGGGAAGGCAUAGAAUCCUAUGAAUUCUCACUCA